UGACGUCAUCAGAGUUCCAGAUAGCCCGCUAGCAUUCGGAUUAGAAGGUGAUGAUUUUGCGUUCCACGAUAGAAUAGAUAUUGGGAACUAUGAUUACACAGAUAGAUCUACAGCCUUCAGUCUUAUUCAAGCCAAUAGAGGAAAUUUGCAUUGCAACAAUUCAUUUUUGAUGUCUCCGAAGCAUAUCAGUCAGGU
Molecule: long non-coding RNA, 195 nt
Organism: Eurytemora carolleeae
Lineage: Eukaryota; Metazoa; Arthropoda; Copepoda; Calanoida; Temoridae
Exons: 3
Source: RefSeq, a predicted model, not a curated record